UACGUAGGGGGCUAGCGUUGUCCGGAUUUAUUGGGCGUAAAGAGCGUGUAGGCGGCCAUGUAGGUCCGGUGUGAAAACUCGAGGCUUAACCUCGAGAUGUCAUCGGAAACCAUUUGGCUAGAGUCCGGAAGAGGAGAGUGGAAUUCCUGGUGUAGCGGUGAAAUGCGCAGAUAUCAGGAAGAACACCUAUGGCGAAGGCAGCUCGCUGGGACGGUACUGACGCUGAGGCGCGAAAGCGUGGGGAGCGAACAGG
Molecule: ribosomal RNA, 253 nt
Filed under: uncultured bacterium
Lineage: Bacteria
Description: partial 16S ribosomal RNA
Rfam family: Bacterial small subunit ribosomal RNA
Source: RNAcentral